GGGUGUCACCGCAAAACGCGGCAAGGCAGGUUUAACUUAGCGCAGGUCGGGCCGCCGCG
This is a non-coding RNA of Pseudomonas syringae, 59 nucleotides long. Lineage: Bacteria; Pseudomonadati; Pseudomonadota; Gammaproteobacteria; Pseudomonadales; Pseudomonadaceae. The record is from Rfam.